GCCGACACAAGCGCAGGAAGUUGCGCGAUAAGAUCAAUUCUGUGUGCGUUCUGUGAAAUCGAAUUCAUGUAAUAAUACGAAUGCAAAAAAUGCGCAAUAAGGACCCAAACGUUUUUGGAUGAGAUAUUGAUCAAAUGAACCAUCAGAGAGCUUCCGCUCAGGACAUUGUAGUGAAUGAUUUUGGCUUGCGCCGUGUUGCUGCAAAGUCGGUCCCAAGUGACCUGACUUUCAUACAAAAAGGAACCGAGUUGACAUCACUAACGGCAUGAUUUGCAAGGGUGAAUCCGACUCAACAUUCGUCAAACGCAUCACCACAUGAGAUGAGACGUGGGUUUACAAGUACGACACGCAAUCCAGACAUCAGGCGGCUAGUGAUAAGCAGAUAAUACAUGGAACACGGAGCCUACAGGUGAGGUAACCAGACAGAUUAGGCAAAGAAGGAGUGAAUACAGAACUAGUUCCCUCAACAACCUAGACCGGCCUUUAAUUUGUGCAGUGGUUGGCAUUAUCACUGGGCAUUGCCUAAUGGGAAUACAUGGGAAGCGUAUGGGGCUUCACUCUAAUAACUUCUAUAACUAAUAACUUCUUCCGGUAUUUGCCAGAGCGUGACUCCGUUAUCUUAACUCUUACUCCUUUGGAUGUCUGGAACCUGCAACUAUACACAAUUUUUCGUCAUUUAUCAGAGGUACAAAAUGGUUUCACCACAUCGGGAAUUAGAGCGGGAAACUUAUGCCCAAACAAGUGGUAUCACAAUGAACCUCUAGAACUAGGUGAGUGCCUCUA
Anastrepha ludens (Mexican fruit fly) is the source of this 783-nucleotide long non-coding RNA. RefSeq lists it as uncharacterized. The record is from RefSeq and is a predicted model, not a curated record. NCBI's taxonomy places the organism in Eukaryota, Metazoa, Arthropoda, Insecta, Diptera, Tephritidae. The transcript has 3 exons.